AGAGUUUGAUCCUGGCUCAGGAUGAACGCUAGCGACAGGCUUAACACAUGCAAGUCGAGGGGCAGCACAGGUAGCAAUACCGGGUGGCGACCGGCGCACGGGUGAGUAACGCGUAUGCAACUUGCCUAUCAGAGGGGGAUAACCCGGCGAAAGUCGGACUAAUACCGCAUGAAGCAGGGAUCCCGCAUGGGAAUAUUUGCUAAAGAUUCAUCGCUGAUAGAUAGGCAUGCGUUCCAUUAGGCAGUUGGCGGGGUAACGGCCCACCAAACCGACGAUGGAUAGGGGUUCUGAGAGGAAGGUCCCCCACAUUGGUACUGAGACACGGACCAAACUCCUACGGGAGGCAGCAGUGAGGAAUAUUGGUCAAUGGGCGUAAGCCUGAACCAGCCAAGUCGCGUGAGGGAUGAAGGUUCUAUGGAUCGUAAACCUCUUUUAUAAGGGAAUAAAGUGCGGGACGUGUCCCGUUUUGUAUGUACCUUAUGAAUAAGGAUCGGCUAACUCCGUGCCAGCAGCCGCGGUAAUACGGAGGAUCCGAGCGUUAUCCGGAUUUAUUGGGUUUAAAGGGUGCGUAGGCGGCCUUUUAAGUCAGCGGUGAAAGUCUGUGGCUCAACCAUAGAAUUGCCGUUGAAACUGGGGGGGCUUGAGUAUGUUUGAGGCAGGCGGAAUGCGUGGUGUAGCGGUGAAAUGCAUAGAUAUCACGCAGAACCCCGAUUGCGAAGGCAGCCUGCCAAGCCAUUACUGACGCUGAUGCACGAAAGCGUGGGGAUCAAACAGGAUUAGAUACCCUGGUAGUCCACGCAGUAAACGAUGAUCACUAGCUGUUUGCGAUACACUGUAAGCGGCACAGCGAAAGCGUUAAGUGAUCCACCUGGGGAGUACGCCGGCAACGGUGAAACUCAAAGGAAUUGACGGGGGCCCGCACAAGCGGAGGAACAUGUGGUUUAAUUCGAUGAUACGCGAGGAACCUUACCCGGGUUUGAACGCAUUCGGACCGAGGUGGAAACACCUUUUCUAGCAAUAGCCGUUUGCGAGGUGCUGCAUGGUUGUCGUCAGCUCGUGCCGUGAGGUGUCGGCUUAAGUGCCAUAACGAGCGCAACCCUUGCCACUAGUUACUAACAGGUAAAGCUGAGGACUCUGGUGGGACUGCCAGCGUAAGCUGCGAGGAAGGCGGGGAUGACGUCAAAUCAGCACGGCCCUUACAUCCGGGGCGACACACGUGUUACAAUGGCGUGGACAAAGGGAAGCCACCUGGCGACAGGGAGCGAAUCCCCAAACCACGUCUCAGUUCGGAUCGGAGUCUGCAACCCGACUCCGUGAAGCUGGAUUCGCUAGUAAUCGCGCAUCAGCCAUGGCGCGGUGAAUACGUUCCCGGGCCUUGUACACACCGCCCGUCAAGCCAUGGGAGCCGGGGGUACCUGAAGUCCGUAACCGCGAGGAUCGGCCUAGGGUAAAACUGGUGACUGGGGCUAAGUCGUAACAAGGUAGCCGUACCGGAAGGUGCGGCUG
RNAcentral lists this ribosomal RNA (1506 nucleotides) under Parabacteroides distasonis. RNAcentral's name for it is "bacterial SSU rRNA". It matches the Rfam family "Bacterial small subunit ribosomal RNA". Lineage: Bacteria; Pseudomonadati; Bacteroidota; Bacteroidia; Bacteroidales; Tannerellaceae. RNAcentral also lists the same sequence under 1 other name. The record is from RNAcentral.